GUGGGGAAUAUUGGACAAUGGGGGAAACCCUGAUCCAGCGACGCCGCGUGGGUGAAGAAGGCCUGCGGGUUGUAAAGCCCUUUCGGUAGGGAAGAAAUCUCUUGCUCUAACAAAGCAAGGGUUUGACUUAACCUACAUAAGAAGCACCGGCUAACUCUGUGCCAGCAGCCGCGGUAAUACAGAGGGUGCGAGCGUUAAUCGGAAUUACUGGGCGUAAAGCGCACGUAGUCGGCUUGCCAAGUCGGGUGUGAAAUCCCCGGGCUCAACCUGGGAACUGCAUCCGAAACUGGCUUGCUAGAGUAUGGGAGAGGGAGGCGGAAUUUCUGGUGUAGCAGUGAAAUGCGUAGAUAUCAGAAGGAACAUCAGUGGCGAAGGCGGCCUCCUGGACCAAUACUGACGAUCAGGUGCGAAAGCGUGGGGAGCAAACAGGAUUAGAUACCCCGGUAGUCC
RNAcentral lists this ribosomal RNA (450 nucleotides) under uncultured bacterium. Its description in RNAcentral is "bacterial SSU rRNA". It matches the Rfam family "Bacterial small subunit ribosomal RNA", at positions 354 to 796 of the family's 1533-position model. The record is from RNAcentral.